AUGGAGAGGAUGGCUCACUCCUACUUUAAGGAGAUUUUUACUAAGGACCCGACUCUAGCUCCGGAUGAGGUCCUUGAUUACAUCGCACCUAGCGUCACAGCCGAGAUGAAUGAUUCUUUGUGCAAACCAUACACUGAGGAGGAAAUUUCUAAUGCCCUCUUUCAGAUUGGCCCCUUGAAGGCCCCUGGUAGUGACGGUUUUCCUGCCCAUUUUUAUCAACGUAACUGGUCAGUGCUUAAAGCAGAGAUUAUUACUGCAGUUCAGGAAUUUUUUGUCACAGGGACUAUGCCGGAUGGUGUUAAUGAUACGGUGAUAGUUUUGAUUCCAAAAGGUCCACAUCCAAAGGAACUAACGGAUUUUCGUCCAAUAAGCUUGUGUAACGUGUAUAAAAUUGUGUCCAAGUGUAUGGUGAACAGGCUACGGCCCCUCCUCAAUGAGCUUAUCUCCGACAAUCAGAGUGCCUUCAUCCCAGGGAGGCUUAUCCCUGAUAAUUCUAUUAUAGCUUUCGAGUGUAUUCACCAUAUUCAAUCUUUGAAGGAUAAUUCUCCGGCCUUGUGUGCUUAUAAGCUUGACUUAUCUAAAGCCUACGAUCGUGUUGACUGGGUUUUCUUGGAGAGGGCACUAUCAAAGUGGGGCUUCUCUCAGCAAUGGAUUUCUCGAGUGAUGGCAUGUGUCUCAUCUGUCAAAUACUCGGUGAAGUUUAAUGGCAAAUUGUUGGAGUUUUUCGCCCCGUCUAGAGGGCUCCGGCAAGGUGACCCGUUAUCCCCCUUUCUCUUCUUGUUUGUAGCUGAUGCUCUUUCAUCUUUGAUCAACAAGGCUAUGCGGGAAGAGGGCCUGCAAGGGGUUAAAAUCUGCAGAGGUGCUCCUGAGAUUUCUCACCUCCUUUUUGCGGAUGAUUCACUUUUAUUCUUCCAAGUUUCAGAACAGCAAGCGGUCUUGGUUAAAGGUGUGUUGAACACUUAUGCGACGGCGACUGGACAACUAAUUAACCCGUCGAAGUGCUCCAUCCUUUUCUCAUAUCAGUGGGCACAAAAAGUUAUCCAGAAGGUUAAAAGUGUACUGGGUAUUACAUAG
Molecule: ribosomal RNA, 1074 nt
Filed under: Triticum aestivum (bread wheat)
Lineage: Eukaryota; Viridiplantae; Streptophyta; Magnoliopsida; Poales; Poaceae
Description: partial small subunit ribosomal RNA
Source: RNAcentral